GUUCUCACUUCAGCAGCACAUACACUAAAAUUGGAACAAUACAUAGAUUUGCAUGGCCCCUGCACAAGGAUGACAUGCAAAUUCGUGAAUUGUUCCUUAUUUUC
Loxodonta africana (African savanna elephant) is the source of this 104-nucleotide small nuclear RNA. The record is from RefSeq and is a predicted model, not a curated record. NCBI's taxonomy places the organism in Eukaryota, Metazoa, Chordata, Mammalia, Proboscidea, Elephantidae.